UACAGAGGUCUCAAGCGUUGUUCGGAUUCAUUGGGCGUAAAGGGUGCGUAGGCGGCGCGGUAAGUCGGGUGUGAAAUCUCGGAGCUUAACUCCGAAACUGCAUUCGAUACUGCCGUGCUUGAGGACUGGAGAGGAGACUGGAAUUUACGGUGUAGCGGUGAAAUGCGUAGAUAUUGUAAGGAAGACCAGUGGCGAAGGCGGGUCUCUAGUACGGUACUGACGCUGAGACGCGAAAGCGUGGGGAGCGAACAGG
RNAcentral lists this ribosomal RNA (253 nucleotides) under uncultured bacterium. Its description in RNAcentral is "partial 16S ribosomal RNA". It matches the Rfam family "Bacterial small subunit ribosomal RNA", at positions 524 to 776 of the family's 1533-position model. The record is from RNAcentral.